CCUACGGGAGGCAGCAGUGAGGAAUAUUGGUCAAUGGGCGAGAGCCUGAACCAGCCAAGUCGCGUGAGGGAAGACGGUCCUACGGAUUGUAAACCUCUUUUGUCAGGGAGCAAGGAGCGCCACGAGUGGCGCGGCGAGAGUACCUGAAGAAAAAGCAUCGGCUAACUCCGUGCCAGCAGCCGCGGUAAUACGGAGGAUGCGAGCGUUAUGCGGAUUUAUUGGGUUUAAAGGGUGCGCAGGCGGAAGCGGCACGUCAGCGGUAAAAUUGCGGGGCUCAACCUCGCCGCGCCGUUGAAACUGCUCUUCUCGCGUGGGCGUGAAGUAUGCGGCAUGCGUGGUGUAGCGGUGAACUGCAUAGCUAUCACGCAGAACUCCGAUUGCGAAGGCAGCAUACCGGCGCCCAACUGACGCUCAUGCACGAAAGCGUGGGUAUCGAACAGGAUUAGAUACCCCAGUAGUC
This 460-nucleotide ribosomal RNA is filed under the name uncultured bacterium. RNAcentral's name for it is "partial 16S ribosomal RNA". It matches the Rfam family "Bacterial small subunit ribosomal RNA", at positions 338 to 795 of the family's 1533-position model. The record is from RNAcentral.